ACGCCGCGUGCGGGAUGACGGCCUUCGGGUUGUAAACCGCUUUUGACUGGGAGCAAGCCCUUCGGGGUGAGUGUACCUUUCGAAUAAGCACCGGCUAACUACGUGCCAGCAGCCGCGGUAAUACGUAGGGUGCAAGCGUUAUCCGGAAUUAUUGGGCGUAAAGGGCUCGUAGGCGGUUCGUCGCGUCCGGUGUGAAAGUCCAUCGCUUAACGGUGGAUCCGCGCCGGGUACGGGCGGGCUUGAGUGCGGUAGGGGAGACUGGAAUUCCCGGUGUAACGGUGGAAUGUGUAGAUAUCGGGAAGAACACCAAUGGCGAAGGCAGGUCUCUGGGCCGUUACUGACGCUGAGGAGCGAAAGCGUGGGGAGCGAACAGGAUUAGAUACCCUGGUAGUCCACGCCGUAAACGGUGGAUGCUGGAUGUGGGGCCCAUUCCACGGGUUCCGUGUCGGAGCUAACGCGUUAAGCAUCCCGCCUGGGGAGUACGGCCGCAAGGCUAAAACUCAAAGAAAUUGACGGGGGCCCGCACAAGCGGCGGAGCAUGCGGAUUAAUUCGAUGCAACGCGAAGAACCUUACCUGGGCUUGACAUGUUCCCGACAGCCCCAGAGAUGGGGCCUCCCUUCGGGGCGGGUUCACAGGUGGUGCAUGGUCGUCGUCAGCUCGUGUCGUGAGAUGUUGGGUUAAGUCCCGCAACGAGCGCAACCCUCGCCCUGUGUUGCCAGCACGUCGUGGUGGGAACUCACGGGGGACCGCCGGGGUCAACUCGGAGGAAGGUGGGGAUGACGUCAGAUCAUCAUGCCCCUUACGUCCAGGGCUUCACGCAUGCUACAAUGGCCGGUACAACGGGAUGCGACAUGGCGACAUGGAGCGGAUCCCUGAAAACCGGUCUCAGUUCGGAUUGGAGUCUGCAACCCGACUCCAUGAAGGCGGAGUCGCUAGUAAUCGCGGAUCAGCAACGCCGCGGUGAAUGCGUUCCCGGGCCUUGUACACACCGCCCG
Molecule: ribosomal RNA, 996 nt
Filed under: human gut metagenome
Description: bacterial SSU rRNA
Rfam family: Bacterial small subunit ribosomal RNA
Source: RNAcentral